Molecule: non-coding RNA, 75 nt
Organism: Cordylochernes scorpioides
Lineage: Eukaryota; Metazoa; Arthropoda; Arachnida; Pseudoscorpiones; Chernetidae
Source: the annotation of a GenBank genome assembly
GUUUCUGUGGUGUAGCGGUUAUCAUGUGUGCUUCACAUGCACACAAGGUCCCUGGUUUGAUCCUGGGUGGGAACA